This 73-nucleotide transfer RNA is filed under the name Blastopirellula marina. Its description in RNAcentral is "tRNA-Asp". It matches the Rfam family "tRNA". From Rfam's summary of the family: Transfer RNA (tRNA) molecules are approximately 80 nucleotides in length. Their secondary structure includes four short double-helical elements and three loops (D, anti-codon, and T loops). Further hydrogen bonds mediate the characteristic L-shaped molecular structure. tRNAs have two regions of fundamental functional importance: the anti-codon, which is responsible for specific mRNA codon recognition, and the 3' end, to which the tRNAs corresponding amino acid is attached (by aminoacyl-tRNA synthetases). tRNAs cope with the degeneracy of the genetic code in two manners: having more than one tRNA (with a specific anti-codon) for a particular amino acid; and 'wobble' base-pairing, i.e. permitting non-standard base-pairing at the 3rd anti-codon position. The record is from RNAcentral. RNAcentral also lists the same sequence under 1 other name. Lineage: Bacteria; Pseudomonadati; Planctomycetota; Planctomycetia; Pirellulales; Pirellulaceae.
GUUCUCGUGGAGCAGCGGAGUGCUCGCCUGCCUGUCACGCAGGAGAUCGCCGGUUCGAAUCCGGUCGGGAACG